RNAcentral lists this ribosomal RNA (1940 nucleotides) under Klebsiella pneumoniae. RNAcentral describes it as "23S ribosomal RNA". It matches the Rfam family "Bacterial large subunit ribosomal RNA", at positions 1009 to 2925 of the family's 2925-position model. Lineage: Bacteria; Pseudomonadati; Pseudomonadota; Gammaproteobacteria; Enterobacterales; Enterobacteriaceae. The record is from RNAcentral.
CGUGAAGAGGGAAACAACCCAGACCGCCAGCUAAGGUCCCAAAGUCAUGGUUAAGUGGGAAACGAUGUGGGAAGGCACAGACAGCCAGGAUGUUGGCUUAGAAGCAGCCAUCAUUUAAAGAAAGCGUAAUAGCUCACUGGUCGAGUCGGCCUGCGCGGAAGAUGUAACGGGGCUAAACCAUGCACCGAAGCUGCGGCAGCGACGCUUAUGCGUUGUUGGGUAGGGGAGCGUUCUGUAAGCCUGCGAAGGUGGCCUGUGAGGGCUGCUGGAGGUAUCAGAAGUGCGAAUGCUGACAUAAGUAACGAUAAAGCGGGUGAAAAGCCCGCUCGCCGGAAGACCAAGGGUUCCUGUCCAACGUUAAUCGGGGCAGGGUGAGUCGACCCCUAAGGCGAGGCCGAAAGGCGUAGUCGAUGGGAAACAGGUUAAUAUUCCUGUACUUGGUGUUACUGCGAAGGGGGGACGGAGAAGGCUAUGUUAGCCGGGCGACGGUUGUCCCGGUUUAAGCAUGUAGGCGGAGGUUCCAGGUAAAUCCGGUACCUUUUAACGCUGAGGUGUGAUGACGAGGCACUACGGUGCUGAAGUAACAAAUGCCCUGCUUCCAGGAAAAGCCUCUAAGCAUCAGGUAACAUCAAAUCGUACCCCAAACCGACACAGGUGGUCAGGUAGAGAAUACCAAGGCGCUUGAGAGAACUCGGGUGAAGGAACUAGGCAAAAUGGUGCCGUAACUUCGGGAGAAGGCACGCUGGUGUGUAGGUGAAGUCCCUGCGGAUGGAGCUGAGACCAGUCGAAGAUACCAGCUGGCUGCAACUGUUUAUUAAAAACACAGCACUGUGCAAACACGAAAGUGGACGUAUACGGUGUGACGCCUGCCCGGUGCCGGAAGGUUAAUUGAUGGGGUUAUCCGUAAGGAGAAGCUCUUGAUCGAAGCCCCGGUAAACGGCGGCCGUAACUAUAACGGUCCUAAGGUAGCGAAAUUCCUUGUCGGGUAAGUUCCGACCUGCACGAAUGGCGUAAUGAUGGCCAGGCUGUCUCCACCCGAGACUCAGUGAAAUUGAACUCGCUGUGAAGAUGCAGUGUACCCGCGGCAAGACGGAAAGACCCCGUGAACCUUUACUAUAGCUUGACACUGAACAUUGAGCCUUGAUGUGUAGGAUAGGUGGGAGGCUUUGAAGCGUGGACGCCAGUCUGCGUGGAGCCAACCUUGAAAUACCACCCUUUAAUGUUUGAUGUUCUAACGUUGGCCCCUNACCGGGGUUGCGGACAGUGUCUGGUGGGUAGUUUGACUGGGGCGGUCUCCUCCCAAAGCGUAACGGAGGAGCACGAAGGUUAGCUAAUCCUGGUCGGACAUCAGGAGGUUAGUGCAAUGGCAUAAGCUAGCUUGACUGCGAGCGUGACGGCGCGAGCAGGUGCGAAAGCAGGUCAUAGUGAUCCGGUGGUUCUGAAUGGAAGGGCCAUCGCUCAACGGAUAAAAGGUACUCCGGGGAUAACAGGCUGAUACCGCCCAAGAGUUCAUAUCGACGGCGGUGUUUGGCACCUCGAUGUCGGCUCAUCACAUCCUGGGGCUGAAGUAGGUCCCAAGGGUAUGGCUGUUCGCCAUUUAAAGUGGUACGCGAGCUGGGUUUAGAACGUCGUGAGACAGUUCGGUCCCUAUCUGCCGUGGGCGCUGGAGAAUUGAGGGGGGCUGCUCCUAGUACGAGAGGACCGGAGUGGACGCAUCACUGGUGUUCGGGUUGUCAUGCCAAUGGCACUGCCCGGUAGCUAAAUGCGGAAGAGAUAAGUGCUGAAAGCAUCUAAGCACGAAACUUGCCCCGAGAUGAGUUCUCCCUGAGACUUUAAGUCUCCUGAAGGAACGUUAAAGACGAUGACGUUGAUAGGCCGGGUGUGUAAGCGCAGCGAUGCGUUGAGCUAACCGGUACUAAUGAACCGUGAGGCUUAACCUU